CAGUCGCCGCGGGAAUACGAGGGGGGCAAGCGUUGUUCGGAUUUACUGGGCGUAAAGCGCACGUAGGCGGAUCGAUCAGUCAGGGGUGAAAUCCCAGAGCUCAACUCUGGAACUGCCUUUGAUACUGUCGAUCUGGAGUAUGGAAGAGGUGAGUGGAAUUCCGAGUGUAGAGGUGAAAUUCGUAGAUAUUCGGAGGAACACCAGUGGCGAAGGCGGCUCACUGGUCCAUUACUGACGCUGAGGUGCGAAAGCGUGGGGAGCAAACAGGAUUAGAUACCCCUGUAGUCCCUGUCUCUUAUAC
This 301-nucleotide ribosomal RNA is filed under the name uncultured bacterium. RNAcentral describes it as "partial 16S ribosomal RNA". It matches the Rfam family "Bacterial small subunit ribosomal RNA", at positions 509 to 807 of the family's 1533-position model. The record is from RNAcentral.